Molecule: ribosomal RNA, 260 nt
Filed under: uncultured bacterium
Lineage: Bacteria
Description: partial 16S ribosomal RNA
Rfam family: Bacterial small subunit ribosomal RNA
Source: RNAcentral
UACGUAGGGUGCGAGCGUUAAUCGGAAUUACUGGGGCGUAAAAGCGUGCGCAGGCGGUUUUUGUAAGCCAGAUGUGAAAUCCCCGAGCUUAAACUUGGGAACUGCAUUUGGGACUGCAAGGCUAGAGUACGGCAGAGGGGGGUAGAAUUCCUGGGUGUAGCAGUGAAAUGCGUAGAUAUCAGGAGGAACACCGGUGGCGAAGGGCGGGGUCUCCUGGGCCGGUAAACUGGACGCUGGAGGAAGCGAAAGCAUGGGGAGGC